CUACGGGUCGCUCCAGUGAGGAAUAUUGCACAAUGGGGGGAACCCUGAUGCAGCAACGCCGCGUGGAGGAUGACGCAUUUCGGUGUGUAAACUCCUUUUAUAUGCCAAGAAAAUGACGGUAGCAUAUGAAUAAGCACCGGCUAACUCCGUGCCAGCAGCCGCGGUAAUACGGAGGGUGCAAGCGUGUACUCGGAAUCACUGGGCGUAAAGGACGCGUAGGCGGGUUGGAAAGUCAGGUGUGAAAUCCUACAGCUUAACUGUAGAACUGCACUUGAAACUUCUAAUCUAGAGUAUGGGAGGGGGAGAUGGAAUUAGUGGUGUAGGGGUAAAAUCCGUAGAUAUCACUAGGAAUACCUAAAGCGAAGGCGAUCUCCUGGAACAUUACUGACGCUAAGGCGUGAAAGCGUGGGGAGCAAACAGGAUUAGAUACCCUUGUAGUC
Molecule: ribosomal RNA, 440 nt
Filed under: uncultured bacterium
Lineage: Bacteria
Description: partial 16S ribosomal RNA
Rfam family: Bacterial small subunit ribosomal RNA
Source: RNAcentral